GAGGGCAGCAGUGGGGAAUUUUGGACAAUGGGCGAAAGCCUGAUCCAGCAAUGCCGCGUGAGUGAAGAAGGCCUUCGGGUUGUAAAGCUCUUUCAGUUGAGAAGAAAAGGCUGUGACUAAUAAUCACAGCUCAUGACGGUAUCGACAGAAGAAGCACCGGCUAACUACGUGCCAGCAGCCGCGGUAAUACGUAGGGUGCAAGCGUUAAUCGGAAUUACUGGGCGUAAAGGGUGCGCAGGCGGUUCUGUAAGUCAGAUGUGAAAUCCCCGGGCUUAACCUGGGAACUGCGUUUGAAACUACAGAGCUAGAGUGUGGCAGAGGGGGGUGGAAUUCCAUGUGUAGCAGUGAAAUGCGUAGAGAUAUGGAAGAACAUCGAUGGCGAAGGCAGCCCCCUGGGUUAACACUGACGCUCAGGCACGAAAGCGUGGGGAGCAAACAGGAUUAGAUACCCUGGUAGUCCACGCCCUAAACUAUGUCAACUAGUUGUCGGGCCUUACUAGGCUUGGUAACGUAGCUAACGCGUGAAGUUGACCGCCUGGGGAGUACGGUCGCAAGAUUAAAACUCAAAUGAAUUGACGGGGGCAAGGGCGAAUUCUGCAGAUAUCCAUCACACUGGCGGCCGCUCGAGC
This 629-nucleotide ribosomal RNA is filed under the name uncultured bacterium. RNAcentral's name for it is "bacterial SSU rRNA". It matches the Rfam family "Bacterial small subunit ribosomal RNA", at positions 344 to 966 of the family's 1533-position model. The record is from RNAcentral.